RNAcentral lists this ribosomal RNA (375 nucleotides) under uncultured bacterium. Its description in RNAcentral is "bacterial SSU rRNA". It matches the Rfam family "Bacterial small subunit ribosomal RNA", at positions 524 to 898 of the family's 1533-position model. The record is from RNAcentral.
UACGUAGGGAGCAAGCGUUGUUCGGAAUCACUGGGCGUAAAGCGAGUGUAGGCGGGAAGGUAAGUUAGGAGUGAAAGGCGUGGGCUUAACCCGCGAUCUGCUUUUAAUACUGCUUUUCUUGAGUAUGGGAGAGGUAGACGGAAUUCCAGGUGUAGCGGUGGAAUGCGUAGAUAUCUGGAAGAACACCAGUUGCGAAGGCGGUCUACUGGCCCAAUACUGACGCUGAGGCUCGAAAGUUAGGGGAGCGAACAGGAUUAGAUACCCUGGUAGUCCUAACCGUAAACGAUGGAUACUAGAUGCUGGGGGGUUCUGCCCUUCGGUGUCGUAGCUAACGCGUUAAGUAUCCCGCCUGGGGAGUACGCUCGCAAGAGUGAA